Molecule: long non-coding RNA, 291 nt
Filed under: Struthio camelus australis
Lineage: Eukaryota; Metazoa; Chordata; Aves; Struthioniformes; Struthionidae
Description: lncRNA (ENSSCUG00000014460.1)
Source: RNAcentral
GAAGGAGUUGUGAUACACAAGUUCCUUCUCCAGCUCCAGUUCUAAGUGUUAUUUUACCUUAUUUUCAGGAUUACCCUUCAUUAUAUUUUAUUGAUUUUGGCUUAAAAGCAUUUGGAUCUAUGGCUGUAACAGAAGGAGUGUGAAGAACAGCAGGGAAAAGGACGUGUUUCUGUAUGUUUUCAGUUGCCCUGAGAAGCUCCUUUGCCUGGUAAUGAUUUGGGAAGAGGACACUUCAUACGGAUGAAGACACCAUCACUUCCAGCACAGUCUUGCCAAAAAGCAACAGGUGCU